AUUGAACGCUGGCGGCAGGCCUAACACAUGCAAGUCGAACGGUAACAGGAAGAAGCUUGCUUCUUUGCUGACGAGUGGCGGACGGGUGAGUAAUGUCUGGGAAACUGCCUGAUGGAGGGGGAUAACUACUGGAAACGGUAGCUAAUACCGCAUAACGUCGCAAGACCAAAAAGGGGGACCUUCGGGCCUCUUGCCAUCGGAUGUGCCCAGAUGGGAUUAGCUAGUAGGUGGGGUAACGGCUCACCUAGGCGACGAUCCCUAGCUGGUCUGAGAGGAUGACCAGCCACACUGGAACUGAGACACGGUCCAGACUCCUACGGGAGGCAGCAGUGGGGAAUAUUGCACAAUGGGCGCAAGCCUGAUGCAGCCAUGCCGCGUGUAUGAAGAAGGCCUUCGGGUUGUAAAGUACGUUCAGCGGGGAGGAAGGGAGUAAAGUUAAUACCUUUGCUCAUUGACGUUACCCGCAGAAGAAGCACCGGCUAACUCUGUGC
RNAcentral lists this ribosomal RNA (491 nucleotides) under uncultured bacterium. RNAcentral's name for it is "partial 16S ribosomal RNA". It matches the Rfam family "Bacterial small subunit ribosomal RNA", at positions 30 to 508 of the family's 1533-position model. The record is from RNAcentral.